UGAUUAACAUGGUUUUGAAGAUUUUCAA
RNAcentral lists this small RNA (28 nucleotides) under Bombyx mori (domestic silkworm). RNAcentral's name for it is "ovarian small RNA-32978". The record is from RNAcentral. Lineage: Eukaryota; Metazoa; Arthropoda; Insecta; Lepidoptera; Bombycidae.